Molecule: microRNA, 22 nt
Filed under: Eptesicus fuscus (big brown bat)
Lineage: Eukaryota; Metazoa; Chordata; Mammalia; Chiroptera; Vespertilionidae
Description: efu-miR-9242
Source: miRBase by way of RNAcentral
UCCCUCUGUGGGGCGAUCGAUC